GACGAACGCUGGCGGCGUGCUUAACACAUGCAAGUCGAACGGAGUGGCGAACGGGUGAGUAACACGUGGGUGACCUGCCCUGCACUUCGGGCUAAGCCUGGGGAACUGGGUCUAAUACCGGUUAGUGUGGGAUGGGCCCGGGGCCUAUCAGCUUGUUGGGGGGGUAAUGGCCUACCAAGGCGGCGACGGGUAGCCGGCCUGAGGGGGUGGACGGCCACAUUGGGCCUGCGGCACGGCGCAGACUCCUACGGGAGGCAGCGGUGGGGAAUAUUGCACAAUGGGCGGGAGCCUGAUGAGGCGACGCCGGGUGGGGAAUGACGGCCUUCGGGUUGUAAACUCCUUUCACCAUCGACGCGGUAGAUGGAGAAGAAGCACCGGCUAACUACGUGCCAGCAGCCGCGGUAAUUC
Molecule: ribosomal RNA, 408 nt
Filed under: uncultured bacterium
Lineage: Bacteria
Description: partial 16S ribosomal RNA
Rfam family: Bacterial small subunit ribosomal RNA
Source: RNAcentral